Molecule: ribosomal RNA, 253 nt
Filed under: uncultured bacterium
Lineage: Bacteria
Description: partial 16S ribosomal RNA
Rfam family: Bacterial small subunit ribosomal RNA
Source: RNAcentral
UACGAAGGGGGCUAGCGUUGCUCGGAAUCACUGGGCGUAAAGGGUGCGUAGGCGGGGCUUUAAGUCAGGGGUGAAAUCCUGGAGCUCAACUCCAGAACUGCCUUUGAUACUGAGGAUCUUGAGUUCGGGAGAGGUGAGUGGAACUGCGAGUGUAGAGGUGAAAUUCGUAGAUAUUCGCAAGAACACCAGUGGCGAAGGCGGCGCACUGGCCCGAUACUGACGCUGAGGCACGAAAGCGUGGGGAGCAAACAGG